This 242-nucleotide ribosomal RNA is filed under the name uncultured bacterium. RNAcentral describes it as "partial 16S ribosomal RNA". It matches the Rfam family "Bacterial small subunit ribosomal RNA", at positions 92 to 334 of the family's 1533-position model. The record is from RNAcentral.
AAAGUGGCGCACGGGUGAGUAACGCGUGGGUAAUCUACCCUCAAAUUGGGGAUAACCACUCGAAAGGGUGGCUAAUACCGCAUAAGACCACGACCCUGCGGGGAUGAGGUCAAAGGCGCAAGCCGCCGAGGGAGGGGCCCGCGGCCGAUUAGCUAGUUGGUAAGGUAACGGCUUACCAAGGCGACGAUCGGUAGCUGGUCUGAGAGGAUGAUCAGCCACACUGGUACUUAGACACGGACCAG